GUUCCAGCCACACCCGCCGGAGUGGGAGGACACGGACAAGUUGCUACACGCGUUGGAUAGGAAAAAGCAGCGGAAGAUCAAGGAUUUGGCCAACCAUCACAGGAAGUAUGUCGUGUAGUUCGCUCUUAGUGUGGAGCAAGCAAGGGCUGGAAAACGAGCCCAGCUUCGUGAGCACUGCCCGAUCGCGUUCAACAACUAUCUCGCAUGGUUUCUUGCAAGUACCCGUGUGGAGGUAUGCCAGCCGGCGUAUGCUGAGGAGAUUCUGGAAGAACCCACCGUUUUUGAUGAGGUAGCCCAGCACCAGUACAACGCAUUAGUCAGGAAAGGCAACUCGGUGAUCCCUUCAGCUCCAAUGAUGAACUUUGUGCGUGCCCAGAUCAAGAAAGCAGCUGACGAGACCGAGACUAUUCUGGAAACAACCCCGGC
Aegilops tauschii subsp. strangulata is the source of this 426-nucleotide long non-coding RNA. RefSeq lists it as uncharacterized. The record is from RefSeq and is a predicted model, not a curated record. NCBI's taxonomy places the organism in Eukaryota, Viridiplantae, Streptophyta, Magnoliopsida, Poales, Poaceae.